GCAGUCGAGCGGCACCUUCGGGUGUAGCGGCGGACGGGUUAGUAACGCGUGGGAAUAUACCCUUCACUACGGAAUAGCCUCGGGAAACUGGGAGUAAUACCGUAUACGCCCUUUUGGGGAAAGAUUUAUCGGUGAAGGAUUAGCCCGCGUCUGAUUAGAUAGUUGGUGGGGUAAUGGCCUACCAAGUCUACGAUCAGUAGCUGGUUUGAGAGGAUGAUCAGCAACACUGGGACUGAGACACGGCCCAGACUCCUACGGGAGGCAGCAGUGGGGAAUCUUAGACAAUGGGCGCAAGCCUGAUCUAGCCAUGCCGCGUGAGUGACGAAGGCCUUAGGGUCGUAAAGCUCUUUCGCCAGAGAUGAUAAUGACAGUAUCUGGUAAAGAAACCCCGGCUAACUCCGUGCCAGCAGCCGCGGUAAUACGGAGGGGGUUAGCGUUGUUCGGAAUUACUGGGCGUAAAGCGCACGUAGGCGGAUUGGAAAGUAUGGGGUGAAAUCCCAGGGCUCAACCCUGGAACUGCCUUGUAAACUCCCAGUCUAGAGUUCGAGAGAGGUGAGUGGAAUUCCAAGUGUAGAGGUGAAAUUCGUAGAUAUUUGGAGGAACACCAGUGGCGAAGGCGGCUCACUGGCUCGAUACUGACGCUGAGGUGCGAAAGUGUGGGGAGCAAACAGGAUUAGAUACCCUGGUAGUCCACACCGUAAA
This 702-nucleotide ribosomal RNA is filed under the name bacterium SVAL2.5. Its description in RNAcentral is "bacterial SSU rRNA". It matches the Rfam family "Bacterial small subunit ribosomal RNA", at positions 57 to 806 of the family's 1533-position model. The record is from RNAcentral.